This is a long non-coding RNA of Equus caballus (horse), 1243 nucleotides long. Lineage: Eukaryota; Metazoa; Chordata; Mammalia; Perissodactyla; Equidae. The record is from Ensembl.
ACUUCUUCCACUUUACAUGCGGGUUGCCACCACAGUAUGGCUGAUGAAUGGUGCAGGUCUGUGCCUGGGAUCCAAACUCGUGAAGCACAAGCAGAGCAAGCCAAACUUAACCACUGACACCCAGGGCCAGCCCCAAGUCCAUUUUUUAAAGACAGGAAGAGCAUAUGGGUCACACGGAUCCAAAUGCGUCUGGACACCUUGGCGACACACUCGCGCAGAUGGGGUAACUGAAGCUUACAGAACAGCAAUUUGACCCCUGCAGUCACACAGCUACGAGCAGGGCCAAGAUCUGCACCCGGGCAGGCGGAGCUCAGAGACAGCACACGCCUCCAUCACUUUGUAAGGCCUCAUUCAGUGGCUUUUUCAUUUAUAAUCCAUCAUAAAUGAUUCAAGUUUUCUCGAACCUAAACCUGCAAGCUUAGUUGCCCCAGGCUGCCCUUUCCACUCUCAUUUUCUGUUUGAUGAAGUGCCUUCUUCCUUAUACAGCUCCUUAUAGAAUGUGGUCAACACGCGUUUUAUUCACUGCCUCCUGAGCCCUCUCCCUACCCUCAGUUCUCCCACCAGACCUGGAGCACAGGGCAAUUUCCCGUCCACCUUUUCUUACUCACAGCUUCCACAAGGGGGCGCAUUCUGACCAUAAAGAUUUCGAUGUUCUCUCCCGUUAGCUAAAAUACAACCAGCGUCACCUUAAUGCUUUCAUUCUGUUAUAAGAAACGGCUUCAUUCAAGCCACACUCCUCAUUGUUAUUUCACGGAGGGGAAGAACAGUAAAAAAGGAAACCGUAUAAUUUUUGUGGACUGUUUCUCCAUAAUUCAUUCACUGGAUUUCUGUGUUAUGUUGUAUGGAAUCCAUUAAGCAGGAUAUUGAAGCUUAUGAAUGGAGACCUAGUAAUUCCUCUUUAAUAAACAUGAGUUACUUUUAUUUCUUAAACUUUAUUAGGCACUUACUCAAAACAUUACUCAAAAAUGCUUGUUAAUAAUAUGAAUGAUGAUUUUGAUUCCGUUUGCAUUAUUAAUAUUUCUAAAGGCCUAAAAUACAAAGUCUGGACUAUUCAUAAAAUCUGAGAAAAUGGCCGGCACUUGAAUGUAAAUCUUUGUGCCUGAGUUUAAUUCCAUCUUGACACUUCUCACCAAACCUUGUAAGGAAGGUAAGGGCUGCUACCACAGGGCCUUUUUGUGUAGCUGAGGAAACUAAUACCAGCGGAGACUUCCUCGGAGCCUUAGGAGGAGCCACGUGCAAAGAG